UGGAGACAAAGGCUUCAUUCCGGCAACUACAUAAAAAGUCAUUACAGUCCUACGGCAUUAUUUUCUCUAUAUCCUCGCCCAUUAGGAGUAGAUGCUUCGAUCAAGAAGUUUACCAAAAGCACCUUCAAACUAGUAAUGCUGAAUAUCCUAGCAACUUGUGACAAGUGUACCGUACAGGUUUAUGCAUUAUUUAUUGGGAGCAAAUCUGAUCCUCGCUAUUGGGCUUGUAUGCCCGUCCUGAUUGAUGUCUUUCACGGUGCGCUGAACCGCCAGGAGCAAAGACCCAGAGGCUGAGAUGCUUUUACUGCACAACGCCAACGCUGGCCAAAAAC
Molecule: small RNA, 332 nt
Filed under: Histoplasma capsulatum var. duboisii H88
Lineage: Eukaryota; Fungi; Ascomycota; Eurotiomycetes; Onygenales; Ajellomycetaceae
Description: Histoplasma capsulatum H88 hypothetical RNA
Source: RNAcentral